GUUUUAUUCUCUGUACUUAUUUAAAACUACAAACGGCACUCUGCUCAUUUAACAAGAACAAAAGAUUAAAUGAUGUUCAAAAAUCAAAUUAAUAAACAAAAUGUUUAAUAGCACAGGAGUCUAAAAGAACAUUACAUUUAAAAUGGGAAUAUAAAACAAUAAAUACAAGUUAGCAUUGAGGCUCAUUACAUAUCUAGCUUACACAUGUCAGAUUCACACUACUAAACUAAGAAAAUACUUUCCACUUUUAUACAAGCAAAAUUUAUUUUCUACAGUGCUAUUAAGCAGACAGGUAGGUCAUCUUGGCGAGUUAUCAAAUCAACAAAAGGUACUUGAACUAGAAAUGAUACUUAGUAAACUGUAAAUUGUAGGGAAUUCAAAAUGAAUUUAAAAAUUCACAUUGAAUUCCUAACAAGAUCUCCUAUAAUGACUUUGUGUGAAAACAGGCGACUUUCACAUCCAGUGUAAGAAACUGGUCUACCAAACAGACUGUUUACAUGUUUCUCAUUGUUCUCUUUAUAUUUGUGCGGCACUGUAAAAUUAAUGCGUAACACAUCUUUACAGUAGAAUCAUACUAAAAUUAAUACAAGAAACCAAAUGAUAAACUAGUCCAAGAUUACAGAUUAAUUUAUAAAACAUGCAACUUCUGAGAAUUAAAUAGGUGAUUUAAAGAAACAAUAAACCGACAACAUUGUUUAUAUAGACAGAUACUGUAUAUCGAAAAUCAGUGUUGAUUCGGGAACUGGCUAUGACUGGGCACAAGUUCUCUGUACAACUGAUUGUAAAGUUUAUAUAAUUUUUUUUACAGUCAAAGUAUAAAACAUGUUUACAGAACAGAAGCAAAUGGAUUAACUCUAUAGUGCUGAGAAUUUACAAGAAAACUGAAAAUUUUUAAUUUAUGUCAAAAUAGCAAUAAAACCCAUGUUAAAUUCUUCCCAUUUCCCAGUUGAAUGAAUAAACUUAAAAGCGUGGACUACAAUUAACCAUCUCCAAAUUAUUUAGCAAAUUAGAGGUAUAUUAUGUAAAUAAUAUGUAGAAAAAAAUAGUAAGGUGCACUCCUGGAUUUGAAAAAUUACUUGUUUUAUUGUGCAGAAAAAUCAAAGUUCAGUGGAUCCAUUUUUCUGCACAAUAAACCAAGUAAUUUUUCAAAUCCAAGAGUGCACCUUACUAUUUUUUCUAUAUACAAAUCGCUGGUUUGCACCCUGGUACGUAUUUUUGUAUAUAUUGUAUAUA
Non-coding RNA from Pelobates cultripes (western spadefoot toad), 1233 nucleotides. NCBI's taxonomy places the organism in Eukaryota, Metazoa, Chordata, Amphibia, Anura, Pelobatidae. The record is from the annotation of a GenBank genome assembly.